RNAcentral lists this ribosomal RNA (492 nucleotides) under Escherichia coli. RNAcentral describes it as "partial 23S ribosomal RNA". It matches the Rfam family "Bacterial large subunit ribosomal RNA", at positions 1 to 523 of the family's 2925-position model. The record is from RNAcentral. Lineage: Bacteria; Pseudomonadati; Pseudomonadota; Gammaproteobacteria; Enterobacterales; Enterobacteriaceae.
GGGUUGUGAGGUUAAGCGACUAAGCGUACACGGUGGAUGCCCUGGCAGUCAGAGGCGAUGAAGGACGUGCUAAUCUGCGAUAAGCGUCGGUAAGGUGAUAUGAACCGUUAUAACCGGCGAUUUCCGAAUGGGGAAACCCAGUGUGAUUCGUCACACUAUCAUUAACUGAAUCCAUAGGUUAAUGAGGCGAACCGGGAGAACUGAAACAUCUAAGUACCCCGAGGAAAAGAAAUCAACCGAGAUUCCCCCAGUAGCGGCGAGCGAACGGGGAGCAGCCCAGAGCCUGAAUCAGUGUGUGUGUUAGUGGAAGCGUCUGGAAAGGCGCGCGAUACAGGGUGACAGCCCCGUACACAAAAAUGCACAUACUGUGAGCUCGAUGAGUAGGGCGGGACACGUGGUAUCCUGUCUGAAUAUGGGGGGACCAUCCUCCAAGGCUAAAUACUCCUGACUGACCGAUAGUGAACCAGUACCGUGAGGGAAAGGCGAAAAGAA